GCCACGAACGCACAGGCAAGAUGGCUGCGGCCGGGGGAGGAGCUUGGAUUCAGCCGCCACCGAACUCGCCCUGGGAUUAAGCGGACUGCGCCUGCGUGUCGCUGGCGACAGCGUCAACUACUUGUAUGCGAAAUUAAAAGUAACAGUUGGCUCCAUAGCUCAGGGGAGGAGACGAUGGCACUACCGCGCCCCUUCCCGCCCCGCGUUUGUUUGCGGCCUUCCCCGACGCGCGCGCUGAGGCUCUGGUCUGCUGCUCUGCGCUCGGCGGCUGCGCGCCCUCGGCGUUCGGGUCCCCGCCGCCUGCGUGCUGCUAACUCUGACUUCUUCCUGUGGAGUUAACACAGAAAAGCGCAGACGGCCACAUUCAUGACCCGGGACUAACGGCUCUACGUGUCACAUUCGCUUUCAGCCUUAAAAAAAAAUUAGUUUAUUUUAAACAAAAUAUAUAACUAAUGUAUGCUGGC
Long non-coding RNA from Rhinopithecus roxellana (golden snub-nosed monkey), 464 nucleotides. RefSeq lists it as uncharacterized. The record is from RefSeq and is a predicted model, not a curated record. Lineage: Eukaryota; Metazoa; Chordata; Mammalia; Primates; Cercopithecidae. The transcript has 2 exons.